RNAcentral lists this ribosomal RNA (339 nucleotides) under Amblyomma triguttatum (ornate kangaroo tick). RNAcentral's name for it is "partial small subunit ribosomal RNA". Lineage: Eukaryota; Metazoa; Arthropoda; Arachnida; Ixodida; Ixodidae. The record is from RNAcentral.
GUUAUUAAUGGGUUAAAUAUUGUGAGUAAGUGAAUUAAUGGAAACAAAAAAAUAUGGCGGUACUUUAAGCUUAUCAGAGGAAUUUUCUCUGUAAUGGAUAAAACACCUGAAUCUUACUAAAGUUAGUUAAAUCAGCUUGUAUACCACUAUAAGAGUAAUAAUUUAUUAUUAUUUCUAUAAUUUUUUCAUAAAAAAAUAAAUUAAGUCAUGGUGCAGCAAAAAUUUUAGAAUGAAGUGAAUUACAUUUCUUUUAAGAAUAAAAAAUUGAAAAAUUAUAUUAGGAUUUGAAAGUAAAUAAAUAAUAACAUGAUUUAUUGAAUUUAGCUCUAAAGUAUGUAC